UCCGGCUUGACACCGGCAGUCUCUCUAGAGUCCCCGGCUUGACCCGCUGGUAACUAGAGACAAGGGUUGCGCUCGUUAGAGGACUUAACCCGACGCUUCACAGCACGAGCUGACGACAGCCAUGCAGCACCUGUGCACGUUCCACUCUUGCGAGCGUCAUCGCCGUUUCCGGCGACUAAUCCGUGCAUGUCAAACCCUGGUAAGGUUCUUCGCGUUGCUUCGAAUUGAGCCACAUGCUCCACCGCUUGUGUGAGCCCCCGUCAAUUUCUUUGAGUUUUAGCCUUGCGACCGUACUCCCCAGGCGGUGUGCUUACCAAUUUCUCUACAAUCCAGACGACGUCAGAGCCGCCCGGAUUCAGCACACAUCGUUUAGGGCGCGGACUAC
RNAcentral lists this unclassified non-coding RNA (385 nucleotides) under uncultured Phycisphaeraceae bacterium. RNAcentral describes it as "contains 16S-23S intergenic spacer region". Lineage: Bacteria; Pseudomonadati; Planctomycetota; Phycisphaerae; Phycisphaerales; Phycisphaeraceae. The record is from RNAcentral.